CGCGUAGGCGGUUUGGUAAGUCGGAUGUGAAAGCCCCGGGCUUAACCUGGGAAUUGCAUUCGAUACUGCCUGACUGGAGUGUGGUAGAGGGAAGCGGAAUUCCGGGUGUAGCGGUGAAAUGCGUAGAGAUCCGGAGGAACAUCAGUGGCGAAGGCGGCUUCCUGGACCAACACUGACGCUGAGGUGCGAAAGCGUGGGGAGCAAACA
Molecule: ribosomal RNA, 207 nt
Filed under: uncultured bacterium
Lineage: Bacteria
Description: partial 16S ribosomal RNA
Rfam family: Bacterial small subunit ribosomal RNA
Source: RNAcentral